RNAcentral lists this long non-coding RNA (754 nucleotides) under Zostera marina. RNAcentral describes it as "long non-coding RNA (ZMAR_LNC003358)". The record is from RNAcentral. Lineage: Eukaryota; Viridiplantae; Streptophyta; Magnoliopsida; Alismatales; Zosteraceae.
GAUUACAUGCCAUACACGGGUGGAUCUUGUUCAGUUGCGGCCACUCAUGAAAGAAUGGUAAAAAAACAUUUCUUUCAUAUAUUUUACAUUUAUCAUUCUAAUUUUUUUGAGUAUAACAAUCAGAAUGAAGAAGCUGGUUAUGAAGUCGGUCACUGUGAGGUUUAUAAGAAAACACAUAGUUUGGCUAAGACAAACGACUGAGCCCAUCCAAAGGGAGGAUGCUUCAUUGUAAGAAAAUUCGUUAGAAAUGCUUCGUUUUAAGAUAUUUAAGUCAUAUUUUUUAUUUAUUAUUGAUUUUCAUUUUUAUAGGCUGACUAUAAUGAGCUUCAAAGAAAUGCUAUGAAAGCAGAAAAUUCUGAGAUCAACUCAUCUAAUGGAUCACACACACUCCCUGAUAAUUUAGAAUUAUGGGUCAAAGCUACUAACGGAAAAAACAAAGGUCGUGUGCUUGGAACCAGAGCAAGUGAUCCAAUGUCAUUACCAAUUCCUGAUAAUAUGGCGACUUCACAGAACACAACGACGAAUUAUAUAGAAAUUCAACAACAAAAAAGUAAAGAAGACUUUGAUCGGGCAGUUCAAGAGGCCAUUAGAAAACAGAUGUCGGAUAUACUAAAGGAACUAAGGGAAGACUUACGUCGAGAGACGAUUGAGGUAAUUAGCAUUUAUAUAUAAAUCAAUAUUUAUAUUUUCUUUCUAAUUUCAAUUUUUUUUUACAUAAGGGUCAGUCGAGCCAAGGACACGACAACAUAAUCAC